CAGCACUUCCUGACUUCUUGGACUUGAUGUGCAGGCUGCAAGUUGCUUUGGGAGUCAACAGGUAAACCACUAAUGGCACAUAUAACUCUUAUAAUUAAAAGCCACAUCUGAUGGAACAGUCGUCUGUGAAAGCAAAGAAGAGGGGAAGAUGAAAGUGCCACCAGUACAAGCCAACAGUCCAGCUAUAGCUCUCAGCAGCAGCCAGAGACCCAAAAGAAAUGAUAGAUUCUCCCUGUCCUGGGCCCGAGUCACAGCCUACAUCAUGUCACCUUAUGGAGAUGGUGCUUCCCCCAGCCCAGCUGUGUCAGAACACCACAGCCUUGACCAGAACUACUCAGCUAUCGUAUGUUAACCUGGACUCAAUUGCAUCCUCGGCAGAGGAUGGGAGCCUUGCUUCUCAUCUGACCAUGCUUCCAGACCAGGAGUCACACUGUCUCUCUUCAGUUCUCUACCAGUUGGACACAUCUGUAUGCAGGGCACCAGCACCGCUGUGA
RNAcentral lists this long non-coding RNA (494 nucleotides) under Dromaius novaehollandiae (emu). Its description in RNAcentral is "lncRNA (ENSDNVG00000006760.1)". Lineage: Eukaryota; Metazoa; Chordata; Aves; Casuariiformes; Dromaiidae. The record is from RNAcentral.